Molecule: long non-coding RNA, 680 nt
Filed under: Gossypium barbadense (sea-island cotton)
Lineage: Eukaryota; Viridiplantae; Streptophyta; Magnoliopsida; Malvales; Malvaceae
Description: long non-coding RNA (GBAR_LNC022756)
Source: RNAcentral
AGCACCGGACCGGCGAGGAUUACGCUUAACAGGACAGGGGAGUACUACUUUAUUUGUGGUAUCCCUGGUCACUGUUCUGCCGGCCAGAAGCUAAACGUGGAAGUACGAAAUGGUAACACCACCGGCGGUGUUACUCCGUCGACGCCUGUAACUCCAACCACCACCACUUAUACGGUGGGUGACUCCACUGGUUGGCGAGUCCCUACUAAUAAUGAUGAUUUUUAUGAGGAUUGGGCUGAUAAUAAACACUUCGUUGUCGGAGACGUUUUAGGUCAGUUUCUUAAGUCAACAUUUGAAUCGAAAUUUGAUGCUUUUUUUUAUCCAACUGUUUGAUGUUUUUCUUUUCUUUUUGCAGUGUUUAAUUUUACGACCGGACAGCAUAAUGUUGCAGAGGUGACGGAAGAUGCUUACGAUGACUGCAACACUGCAAAUGCCAUAUCUACUUUGACCACCGGUCCGGCAAGGAUUACCCUUAACAAGACCGGUGACCAUUACUUCAUUUGCAGUGUCCCCGGUCAUUGUUCCGCCGGCCAAAAGCUCAAGGUUGAAGUUCGAACUGGUAACACCACCGGUGGCGUUGCUCCGUCGCCGCCUGUAACUCCAAGCACCACCACUUUUACAGUGGGUGACUCUACUGGUUGGCGUGUCCCUACCAAUGAUGAUUUUUAUGAGGAUUGGGC